Lineus longissimus is the source of this 1695-nucleotide long non-coding RNA. RefSeq lists it as uncharacterized. Lineage: Eukaryota; Metazoa; Nemertea; Pilidiophora; Heteronemertea; Lineidae. The record is from RefSeq and is a predicted model, not a curated record. The transcript has 3 exons.
GUUUAACAGUGUCGGUGGUGUGAUCGGAGCAGGAUUUUUAGUGAAAUAUCUGAUGUGAGGGGGGUGUGUUUUUUAAUUUUUCGAUUUAUUUGGAUGUGUUCGUAACGUGGAAAUGUUAGAAAUGUAGGAUAUCGUUUGGAGUUCUCUUGGGAUUAACGUUUUUGGUACCACUUCAUCAACUUGAUGAUGUCUAGGAAAAAGAAAGAGCCUCUGAACUUCCUUGGUCUGUAUGCGGUACCCCUGAUCCCAGCCAACAGCGAAGAAGAAAUGCAACCCUCCACUGUCAUACCAGCGUCCAACUCCUCAAGUCGAACUGUACCACUUUCUCGCAAUGGUUCGAUAGGAAGUGGGUAGGAGGAAAUUUUUUCAGAGGGCAAGGAAAGAAGGAAAGAACCUACGUCAAAAGCAUCAGGCCUUUGAAGCUGAAACUGACCAACUGGCAAGGAAGACCAUGAAGAAAUGGAACCGGAAUUCGUCAUGUCAUUGCCAGAACAGUCAACAUUCCAGGAUGUACACAGCCAAAUGGUCCUCCCAGCCCUGUCUUAUGAACGAGCUGUCAAAUAUUUUGAUAUUGAUGACAAGAGUUUUGAUGAAAAGUUCUAGGAAUUGUACAAGCAAAGGUUUAUCAGAUACCUAAGUAUCAUUGGAUCAAGAUCUCACCUACUUCACAGGAUGUGUUAGGGCGGAAAUGAAGAGAUCGGUAUCGUACACUGUUGACUUCAGUUUGGAUAAGACUGGUGUUAUCCAAGAUUCUCAAUAUAAAUGUGGUGCAGGCCAGGGCCCUACUGCACAUUGCAAACAUGUUGGCUGUCUCAUGUAUGGUGUCUAUACCUUUUCUAAAUCUGGAGAAACCAUCACAGAACAAACAUGCACUCAAAUAAGUACUAUCUGCAUUUAAAAAAUACAUAUUAAAUGACAAUGACUUGUUGCAGUCUACAAAAAUGCUUGUUUUAAAUUGGUUUACUUACUAAUAAGGUUUAUUUGUUCAUUUCAACCUUCAAUACAUUACCAUAGUAUUUACCAUAAUUUUUCAGGUUCUACAAAUAUUUCAUCGUGCAAAGCCACACAGGGUUCACAACUAACAUCAACUGGUCUGCAGGCAACGAGAAAGCAUCAACUCGAGUACGAUCCAAAGCCAACUAAAUUUAGGAAAGAUCCUGAUUAUCCAGCCAAUUUUUGCAAUGGUAUUCUGAAUUUUCAGCUUAGACUAUGUUAUGCACCGGUUUCAUCACUUGUCAAAUAAAAGUCUGAUUUUCAGUCUUCAUCUCUGUUCUAACUGUCUGAAGAUCUGGUGAUGGUGACUUUCAUCAUAUGCAUUUGUGUUGUAAAUACAGUGUCAUUUAAGAAAUUUAAGAACGUGAUUUCAGUGUUUAUAUCCAAUUCCAAGCUCAGCACAUUGAUGAGGGGAAAAUGGCAAUGCUUCAACUCUACCAACCAGCAAAUCCCUACGGCACCAGUUUGGACCAUGACUAUGGUAAAUCGGACGAAGAGCACUUCCUAAAGUAUGCUCACGUAACAAAGCACAAAAUGUUUUUAGUACUACUACUGCUACUAUUACUACUACAAUAAACUCUGAAAUUCGAGGAAAAAUUUGGUGAAACUAGAGAAUGUGGGUUGUUUGUCUCUCUCUCACAUCCUUGCAUGUGCGCUUCACCUGACAGACUAUGCAAGGACUGCUGACCGGGGCACAGUGAA